AGAACGAACGCUGGCGGCAGGCUUAACACAUGCAAGUCGAACGCGUGUAGCAAUACACGAGUGGCGCACGGGUGAGUAACGCGUGGAUAUCUGCCUUUUGGUUCGGAAUAACCCCGGGAAACUGGGGCUAAUACCGGAUGGUUCCUACGGGAUAAAGAUUUAUCGCCAAAAGAUGAGUCCGCGUCCGAUUAGCUAGUUGGUGGGGUAAUGGCCUACCAAGGCGACGAUCGGUAGCUGGUCUGAGAGGACGAUCAGCCACACUGGGACUGAGACACGGCCCAGACUCCUACGGGAGGCAGCAGUGGGAAUAUGGACAAUGGGGCAACCCUGAUCCAGCCAUGCCGCGUGAGUGAUGAAGGCCUUCGGGUUGUAAAGCUCUUUUGGCGGGACGAUGAUGACGGUACCCGCAGAAUAGCCCGGCUAACUUCGUGCCAGCAGCCGC
This 442-nucleotide ribosomal RNA is filed under the name uncultured bacterium. Its description in RNAcentral is "SSU rRNA". It matches the Rfam family "Bacterial small subunit ribosomal RNA", at positions 26 to 518 of the family's 1533-position model. The record is from RNAcentral.